Molecule: ribosomal RNA, 429 nt
Filed under: Pseudomonadota bacterium
Lineage: Bacteria; Pseudomonadati; Pseudomonadota
Description: Proteobacteria bacterium partial 16S ribosomal RNA
Rfam family: Bacterial small subunit ribosomal RNA
Source: RNAcentral
UGGGGAAUAUUGGACAAUGGGCGAAAGCCUGAUCCAGCCAUGCCGCGUGUGUGAAGAAGGUCUUCGGAUUGUAAAGCACUUUAAGUUGGGAGGAAGGGCAGUAAGCGAAUACCUUGCUGUUUUAACGUUACCGACAGAAUAAGCACCGGCUAACUCUGUGCCAGCAGCCGCGGUAAUACAGAGGGUGCAAGCGUUAAUCGGAAUUACUGGGCGUAAAGCGCGCGUAGGUGGUUCGUUAAGUUGAAUGUGAAAGCCCCGGGCUCAACCUGGGAACUGCAUCCAAAACUGGCGAGCUAGAGUAGGGCAGAGGGUGGUGGAAUUUCCUGUGUAGCGGUGAAAUGCGUAGAUAUAGGAAGGAACACCAGUGGCGAAGGCGACCACCUGGGCUCAUACUGACACUGAGGUGCGAAAGCGUGGGGAGCAAACAGG